CAAGGCUAUCUGCAUGUUGACCUUCUGGUGACUCUGGAUAAUUGUUACAGAUCGCAGUCGGCUUUGAGCCGGCGACGGGUCCUUCAAAUGUCUGCCCUAUCAACUUUCGAUGGUAGGUGACCUGCCUACCAUGGUGAUAACGGGUAACGGGGAAUCAGGGUUCGAUUCCGGAGAGGGAGCCUGAGAAACGGCUACCACUUCCAAGGGAGGCAGCAGGCGCGCAAAUUACCCACUCCCGGUACGGGGAGGUGGUGACGAAAAAUACCGAUGCGGGACUCUCAACGAGGCUCCGUAAUCGGAAUGAGUGAACUUUAAAUCCUUUCACGAGGAUCAAUUGGAGGGCAAGUCUGGUGCCAGCAGCCGCGGUAACUCCAGCUCCAAUAGCGUAUAUUAAAGUUGCUGCAGUUAAAAAGCUCGUAGUUGGAUCUCGGUACCACUGUUACUCGUCAGUCCUUUGGCAGGUGGUUAUGCACGCAUGGGUACGUAUUGUGCGGCCUGUGUUGUCGCUAUGGCUGCUCUGUCCGAGUUGGCGGUGUGACGGUGUCGCCUUUCAGCCAUGUCUGUGGUGAAAUACCCUCAGGUGUAGGCGAGUGUCGGAUGGUGCCCAGCCCUAGUUGGGUCCGUCGGCUCGUCUGCAUGCCUCUAGAUGCCCUUCAAAAGGUGUCUGUGGGCGGAUGGCACGUUUACUUUGAACAAAUUUGAGUGCUCAAACCAGGCCGAUGUUGCCUGAAAAGUUUUGCAUGGAAUAAUGGAAUAGGACUUCGGUUCUAUUUCGUUGGUUUUCGGAUCCGAAGUAAUGAUCAAAAGAGACAGGCGGGGACGUUUGUAUGGCUGCGCUAGAGGUGAAAUUCAUGGACCGUAGCCAGACAAACUAAAG
This 877-nucleotide ribosomal RNA is filed under the name Ophiotaenia lapata. RNAcentral's name for it is "SSU rRNA". It matches the Rfam family "Eukaryotic small subunit ribosomal RNA", at positions 223 to 945 of the family's 1831-position model. Lineage: Eukaryota; Metazoa; Platyhelminthes; Cestoda; Proteocephalidea; Proteocephalidae. The record is from RNAcentral.